Molecule: ribosomal RNA, 468 nt
Filed under: uncultured bacterium
Lineage: Bacteria
Description: partial 16S ribosomal RNA
Rfam family: Bacterial small subunit ribosomal RNA
Source: RNAcentral
GACGAACGCUGGCGGCGUGCUUAACACAUGCAAGUCGAACGGAAAGGCCCUGCUUUUGUGGGGUGCUCGAGUGGCGAACGGGUGAGUAACACGUGAGUAACCUGCCCUUGACUUUGGGAUAACUUCAGGAAACUGGGGCUAAUACCGGAUAGGAGCUCCUGCUGCAUGGUGGGGGUUGGAAAGUUUCGGCGGCUGGGGAUGGACUCGCGGCUUAUCAGCUUGUUGGUGGGGUAGUGGCUUACCAAGGCUUUGACGGGUAGCCGGCCUGAGAGGGUGACCGGCCACAUUGGGACUGAGAUACGGCUCAGACUCCUACGGGAGGCAGCAGUGGGGAAUAUUGCACAAUGGGCGGAAGCCUGAUGCAGCAACGCCGCGUGCGGGAUGACGGCCUUCGGGUUGUAAACCGCCUUCGCCUGUGACGAAGCGUGAGUGACGGUAAUGGGUAAAGAAGCACCGGCUAACUACGUG